RNAcentral lists this transfer RNA (78 nucleotides) under Candidatus Aquicultor primus. Its description in RNAcentral is "Actinobacteria bacterium GWC2_53_9 tRNA-Pro". It matches the Rfam family "tRNA". Rfam says of the family: Transfer RNA (tRNA) molecules are approximately 80 nucleotides in length. Their secondary structure includes four short double-helical elements and three loops (D, anti-codon, and T loops). RNAcentral also lists the same sequence under 2 other names. The record is from RNAcentral. Lineage: Bacteria; Bacillati; Actinomycetota; Candidatus Aquicultoria; Candidatus Aquicultorales; Candidatus Aquicultoraceae.
CGGGGUGUGGCUCAGUUUGGUUAGAGCACCGGUUUUGGGAACCGGGGGUCGGAGGUUCGAAUCCUCUCACCCCGACCA